RNAcentral lists this long non-coding RNA (210 nucleotides) under Physcomitrium patens. RNAcentral's name for it is "long non-coding RNA (PPAT_LNC004939)". Lineage: Eukaryota; Viridiplantae; Streptophyta; Bryopsida; Funariales; Funariaceae. The record is from RNAcentral.
AAAAAAAAUUCCAUGGCUUAGUAGAAAUUGAUUUGCUCUUGGAUUUUAAUUAAUUAAUUUUUAAGUUUUUAUUAUUUUUAUUUAAAAAUUUAUAAGAUUGUAUUUCUUAAUACAAGCUUUCUAAAAAGCUAUCACAUAUUUGAGUUGGACUAAAAUUAAUUUUUAGUAAAUUUUAUAUUAGAAAAAAAUUCACUACUUUAUUAAUUUUGU